Cubamyces lactineus is the source of this 98-nucleotide non-coding RNA. Lineage: Eukaryota; Fungi; Basidiomycota; Agaricomycetes; Polyporales; Polyporaceae. The record is from the annotation of a GenBank genome assembly.
UGCCCCAUGGCUGAGUUGGUUACAGCGUCCGACUGUUAAAGCCCCACAAAGGCUCAGACGAUAUCGGAAGGUCGUGAGUUCGAGCCUCACUGGGGCAG